AUCAACGCUGGCGGCGUGCCUAAUACAUGCAAGUCGAACGCGAAAGUGGAGCAAUCCAUGAGUAGAGUGGCAAACGGGUGAGUAACACGUGGGUGACCUGCCUUCGAGUGGGGGAUAACGUCCCGAAAGGGACGCUAAUACCGCAUAACAUCCUGCCUUUUAAGAGGUGGAGAUCAAAGCCGGGGAUCGCAAGACCUGGCGCUUGUAGAGGGGCCCGCGCCUGAUUAGCUAGUUGGUGAGGUAACGGCUCACCAAGGCAACGAUCAGUAUCCGGCCUGAGAGGGCGGACGGACACACUGGGACUGAGACACGGCCCAGACUCCUACGGGAGGCAGCAGUAGGGAAUUGUUCGCAAUGGGCGCAAGCCUGACGACGCAACGCCGCGUGGAGGAUGAAGACCUUCGGGUCGUAAACUCCUUUCGAUCGAGACGAAUGGCUUCCGGCUUAAUACGCCGGGAGAAUGACGGUACCGAGAGAAGAAGCCCCGGCUAACUCCGUGCCAGCAGCCGCGGUAAUACGGGGGGGGCAAGCGUUGUUCGGAAUUACUGGGCGUAAAGGGCUCGUAGGUGGCCAACUAAGUCAGACGUGAAAUCCCUCGGCUUAACCGGGGAACUGCGUCUGAUACUGGAUGGCUUGAGAUUGGGAGAGGGAUGCGGAAUUCCAGGUGUAGCGG
This 673-nucleotide ribosomal RNA is filed under the name uncultured bacterium. Its description in RNAcentral is "bacterial SSU rRNA". It matches the Rfam family "Bacterial small subunit ribosomal RNA", at positions 29 to 681 of the family's 1533-position model. The record is from RNAcentral.